Molecule: ribosomal RNA, 527 nt
Filed under: Ilyonectria sp. Cyl183
Lineage: Eukaryota; Fungi; Ascomycota; Sordariomycetes; Hypocreales; Nectriaceae
Description: eukaryotic LSU rRNA
Rfam family: 5.8S ribosomal RNA (bases 170-323)
Source: RNAcentral
UCUCCGUUGGUGAACCAGCGGAGGGAUCAUUACCGAGUUUACAACUCCCAAACCCCUGUGAACAUACCUAUUGUUGCCUCGGCGGUGCCUGUUCCGACAGCCCCGCCAGAGGACCCCAAACCCUGAUUACAUUUAAGAAUUCUUCUGAGUAACCGAUUAAAUAAAUCAAAACUUUCAACAACGGAUCUCUUGGUUCUGGCAUCGAUGAAGAACGCAGCGAAAUGCGAUAAGUAAUGUGAAUUGCAGAAUUCAGUGAAUCAUCGAAUCUUUGAACGCACAUUGCGCCCGCUAGUAUUCUGGCGGGCAUGCCUGUUCGAGCGUCAUUUCAACCCUCAAGCCCCCGGGCUUGGUGUUGGGGAUCGGCGAGCCUUUUGCGCUCGCCGUCCCCUAAAUCUAGUGGCGGUCUCGCUGUAGCUUCCUCUGCGUAGUAGCACACCUCGCACUGGGAAACAGCGCGGCCACGCCGUUAAACACCCAACUUCUGAAAGUUUGACCUCGGAUCAGGUAGGAAUACCCGCUGAACUUAA